RNAcentral lists this ribosomal RNA (408 nucleotides) under uncultured eukaryote. Its description in RNAcentral is "bacterial SSU rRNA". It matches the Rfam family "Eukaryotic small subunit ribosomal RNA", at positions 592 to 992 of the family's 1831-position model. The record is from RNAcentral.
CAAUAGCGUAUAUUAAAGUUGUUGCAGUUAAAAAGCUCGUAGUUGGAUUUCUGGCUGGAGCGAUCGGUCCGCCCCGCAAGGGGUGUGUACUAGCGUCGUCUCCGACCAUCCUUGUGGGAACUGUGCGGCCGUUAACUCGGUUGUAUAUGGGGAACUACAUACGUUUACUGUGAAAAAAUUAGAGUGUUUAAAGCAGGCUUAAGCCGUUGAAUACAUUAGCAUGGAAUAAUAAGAUAAGACUUUGGGUCAUUAUUUUGUUGGUUUGCGGAUCGAGGGUAAUGAGUUAAUAGGGAUAGUUGGGGGUAUUCAUAUUCAAUUGUCAGAGGUGAAAUUCUUGGAUUUAUGGAAGAUGAACUACUGCGAAAGCAUUUACCAAGGUAUGUUUUCAUUAAUCAAGAACGAAAGUUA